RNAcentral lists this ribosomal RNA (522 nucleotides) under Metarhizium anisopliae. RNAcentral's name for it is "eukaryotic LSU rRNA". The stretch from base 129 to 282 matches the Rfam family "5.8S ribosomal RNA". The record is from RNAcentral. Lineage: Eukaryota; Fungi; Ascomycota; Sordariomycetes; Hypocreales; Clavicipitaceae.
UCCACUCGCUACCCCUGUGUGCUCAUACCUUUAAUUGUUGCUUCGGCGGGACUUCGCGCCCGCCGGGGACCCAAACCUUCUGAAUUUUUUAAUAAGUAUCUUCUGAGUGGUUAAAAAAAAUGAAUCAAAACUUUCAACAACGGAUCUCUUGGUUCUGGCAUCGAUGAAGAACGCAGCGAAAUGCGAUAAGUAAUGUGAAUUGCAGAAUUCAGUGAAUCAUCGAAUCUUUGAACGCACAUUGCGCCCGUCAGUAUUCUGGCGGGCAUGCCUGUUCGAGCGUCAUUACGCCCCUCAAGUCCCCUGUGGACUUGGUGUUGGGGAUCGGCGAGGCUGGUUUUCCAGCACAGCCGUCCCUUAAAUUAAUUGGCGGUCUCGCCGUGGCCCUCCUCUGCGCAGUAGUAAAGCACUCGCAACAGGAGCCCGGCGCGGUCCACUGCCGUAAAACCCCCCAACUUUUUAUAGUUGACCUCGAAUCAGGUAGGACUACCCGCUGAACUUAAGCAUAUCAAUAACCGGAGGAAA